RNAcentral lists this ribosomal RNA (253 nucleotides) under uncultured bacterium. RNAcentral's name for it is "partial 16S ribosomal RNA". It matches the Rfam family "Bacterial small subunit ribosomal RNA", at positions 524 to 776 of the family's 1533-position model. The record is from RNAcentral.
GACAGAGGUGCCAAGCGUUAGGCGGAAUCACUGGGCUUAAAGCGUGUGUAGGCGGAUGCCUAAGUACCUUGUGAAAUCCCACGGCUCAACCGUGGAACUGCUUGGCAUACUGGCGGUCUUGAGCAACCUAGGGGCGAGCGGAACAAAUGGUGGAGCGGUGAAAUGCGUAGAUAUCAUUUGGAACGCCAAUGGUGAAAACAGCUCGCUGGGGGUUUGCUGACGCUGAGACACGAAAGCCAGGGGAGCAAACGGG